CGUCAGGAAUUCUGUUUCCUUCAUUUCCGUUGACUCAGGCAAAGGCCAUCGCUGUUCCUCCCAACUGAGACGACUUAUCAGGGCCAGGCAGUGUGGAAACAGGAAGGGAGGGGAUCCAGAGACACGGGGGCUUCUGCAUGGUGGUCUGUCCCCUCUCAGCGGGAGGCCUGUCUACAUCUGCAUUCACAGUUUCUGCUCUCCCGCAUACACAGUAUGUAAAAAACAGCACAUCAAAAGAGCAGGAUGUCUGAAUACUGAGUAUUUAUGGCAUGGGAAAAAAGACGACUCACUGUAUGGCUACUCAAUGACCCGGAACAACGGCUGUAAUCGCUGUGGCUCCACGGCCCUGAAACAACACAAGCCGCCCUGCACAAAUAUGCCUCUCUGCUUGACCAGACAGAGGCCGAUGGAAACGGCCACCCUAUUAAACCCCACAGAUUUCAAAGGUGGCCGACAAUCUCUGCCAGUUUAUCAUUCAAACAGCGAAUCAACCACACCCUUACAAACACUGCCCACUCCAUCAGCAGCUGGACUCGAUGACACUUUGGAAAUAAGAACUGCCCUAAAAUUGUGUUGGAUUAAUGGAUGUGAAUUUGGUAGAAUAAACAAAGAAAUCUAUAGCUCUGUUGUGCAGAUGUGGACCGAUCUACAAAAGUACAAAUAUUAAUGGAGCAUUUGAUUUUGGAGAGUUUUGUUUCGAACAAGUAUAUUCAUAAACCAAUGAUUCGAGCUCCAGAGGAGCUUUGACAAAAUUCAUGAUGAAUAAUAACAACGAAAGCUCUCACAUAUACAGGAAAAUCAGAUAUAAACGAAUAUUGAAUUCUGAUUGACAGUGUAUGCAAGACAAAACCAGCUAUCGUACUGCCAUCAUCUGAGCUCCAUUGACUGACAGCAAAUUUUCAUUCUCUAUCAUAUCUGUGAAAUCUGACCACUUUUUAGAAACCGAACGAUGUUGCUGCUUCACUGUGAACCAUCAGCUCCUGCGGUGUCCGUCUUUAUUUUUAGAUGGAGGGAUCGCGUUUCGGCAAUGAGAAGACCCCUCUAACAGGAAGUCACCCAGUGGGACAUCAGGCUGUCUCUGGCUAGCUUGGGCCUUGAGCUCAGCUCAUCCUGAGGGUGAAUUACACACACGCACACGCUCUGGAUACAUUGGUUAAACUCCAUCUGAACUCAACAUGAAUAUCCGCAUGGCCUUGUCAUGCUAUAAGGAGAAUCACACUGCUUGUGGUAAGUUCUCAUGGGUCGAAUGAGGAAGAGCUCUGUGGGUAUGUUAAACAACACCUCAUGAACAUAUAAUAAAGACUUCAUAACUCUGAAAGUGACUGAUGGUAUUACACAUGUGAAUAUGUCAAUAUUGAUCACAGUAAAUAAGCUGAAAUGACACAUGCGCCAUAUUCAAGCUUUAUAUAAAGCUUUAAUAAAGCUUUUCUUAAGGGUUUUUAAUGUCGUUUAGGUGUUGUUUUUAUACAGUAUACUGUAUAUAAUGAAAAUGUUCAUCGCAUGACAAUGCUCCCUCAUUAU
Long non-coding RNA from Triplophysa rosa, 1521 nucleotides. RefSeq lists it as uncharacterized. The record is from RefSeq and is a predicted model, not a curated record. NCBI's taxonomy places the organism in Eukaryota, Metazoa, Chordata, Actinopteri, Cypriniformes, Nemacheilidae. The transcript has 3 exons.